RNAcentral lists this ribosomal RNA (1372 nucleotides) under uncultured bacterium. RNAcentral's name for it is "bacterial SSU rRNA". It matches the Rfam family "Bacterial small subunit ribosomal RNA", at positions 28 to 1381 of the family's 1533-position model. The record is from RNAcentral.
GAUGAACGCUGGCGGCGUGCCUAAUACAUGCAAGUCGAGCGAACGGACGAGAAGCUUGCUUCUCUGAUGUUAGCGGCGGACGGGUGAGUAACACGUGGAUAACCUACCUAUAAGACUGGGAUAACUUCGGGAAACCGGAGCUAAUACCGGAUAAUAUUUUGAACCGCAUGGUUCAAAAGUGAAAGACGGUCUUGCUGUCACUUAUAGAUGGAUCCGCGCUGCAUUAGCUAGUUGGUAAGGUAACGGCUUACCAAGGCAACGAUGCAUAGCCGACCUGAGAGGGUGAUCGGCCACACUGGAACUGAGACACGGUCCAGACUCCUACGGGAGGCAGCAGUAGGGAAUCUUCCGCAAUGGGCGAAAGCCUGACGGAGCAACGCCGCGUGAGUGAUGAAGGUCUUCGGAUCGUAAAACUCUGUUAUUAGGGAAGAACAUAUGUGUAAGUAACUGUGCACAUCUUGACGGUACCUAAUCAGAAAGCCACGGCUAACUACGUGCCAGCAGCCGCGGUAAUACGUAGGUGGCAAGCGUUAUCCGGAAUUAUUGGGCGUAAAGCGCGCGUAGGCGGUUUUUUAAGUCUGAUGUGAAAGCCCACGGCUCAACCGUGGAGGGUCAUUGGAAACUGGAAAACUUGAGUGCAGAAGAGGAAAGUGGAAUUCCAUGUGUAGCGGUGAAAUGCGCAGAGAUAUGGAGGAACACCAGUGGCGAAGGCGACUUUCUGGUCUGUAACUGACGCUGAUGUGCGAAAGCGUGGGGAUCAAACAGGAUUAGAUACCCUGGUAGUCCACGCCGUAAACGAUGAGUGCUAAGUGUUAGGGGGUUUCCGCCCCUUAGUGCUGCAGCUAACGCAUUAAGCACUCCGCCUGGGGAGUACGACCGCAAGGUUGAAACCCAAAGGAAUUGACGGGGACCCGCACAAGCGGUGGAGCAUGUGGUUUAAUUCGAAGCAACGCGAAGAACCUUACCAAAUCUUGACAUCCUUUGACAACUCUAGAGAUAGAGCUUUCCCCUUCGGGGGACAAAGUGACAGGUGGUGCAUGGUUGUCGUCAGCUCGUGUCGUGAGAUGUUGGGUUAAGUCCCGCAACGAGCGCAACCCUUAAGCUUAGUUGCCAUCAUUAAGUUGGGCACUCUAAGUUGACUGCCGGUGACAAACCGGAGGAAGGUGGGGAUGACGUCAAAUCAUCAUGCCCCUUAUGAUUUGGGCUACACACGUGCUACAAUGGACAAUACAAAGGGCAGCGAAACCGUGAGGUCAAGCAAAUCCCAUAAAGUUGUUCUCAGUUCGGAUUGUAGUCUGCAACUCGACUACAUGAAGCUGGAAUCGCUAGUAAUCGUAGGUCAGCAUGCUACGGUGAAUACGUUCCCGGGUCU